AGGCUAGUUCAAGAUUAGCCAUGCAUGUCUAAGUAUAAACAAAAUUUAUAGUGAAACUGCGAAUGGCUCAUUAAAUCAGUUAUAAUAUACCUGAUAAUUUUAUACCAGUGGAUAACCGUGGUAAUUCUAUGGCUAAUACAUACGUGAAAGGGCUAUGCUAUGCAUAGCCUGUAGUUAUUAGGUACAAAACCAAUAGUAGGCAACUACUUUUUGGUGACUCAUAGUAAACUUAUUGAUCGUUGUCUUUGACGACGUAUCAGUCUAAUUUCUGCCCUAUCAACUGUCGAUGGUAAGGUAGUGGCUUACCAUGGUUGUAACGGGUGACGGGGAAUAAGGGUUCUAUUCCGGAGAGGGAGCCUGAGAAACGGCUACCACAUCCAAGGAAGGCAGCAGGCGCGCAAAUUACCCAAUCCUGAUACAGGGAGGUAGUGACAAUAAAUAACAAUCCAGGGCCCUUUAGGGUCAUGGAAUUGGAAUGAAUACAAAUUAAAACUCUUAAUGAGGAACCAUUGGAGGGUAAGUCUGGUGCCAGCAGCCGCGGUAAUUCCAGCUCCAAUAGCGUAUAUUAAAGUUGUUGCAGUUAAAACGCCCGUAGUCUAACUUUUGGGAGUGAGGGAAUCUAGGGGGAUAGUUGGCCUUGGUCAACUAUUUUUCUGGGUUUCUGAGCUUUCAGAUUUAAUUUCUAGCCUUUGGGUCUAUGAGUAACUUUACUGUUAUGAGUAGAUCAUCUCCCUUAACUGGGUGGGCUAGAAAUGAUUACUUUGAAAAAAUUAGAGUGUUCAAAGCGAGCUUUUUAAGCUGAAUAUAUUAGCAUAGAAUAAUAAAAUAGGAUUUUGGUCUUAUUUUGUUGGUUUUAAUACCAAAAAAAUGAUGAAUAGGUUUGGUUGGGGAUAUUAAGUAUUUAAUAGCUAGAAGGUGAAAUUCUUGGAUUUUUGAAAAAACUAACUUCCGCGAAAGGCAUUUUAUCAAGGACAUAUUCAUUGAUCAUGGACAAAAGUUGGGGGGAUCGAAGGAUGAUUUAGAAACCGUCCUUAUUCUCCAACCAUAUACUUAUGCCAACCCACGCGAUUGGGGCCAGAUUUUAUUGCACCCCAUCACCCUUGUGGUGAAAACCAAAGUUUUUGGAGUUCUUGGGGAGCAAAUUUUGGUUCGCCAGGACGAAACACUUAAAAAAGAUUUGACAGUGAAGGGCCACUCUCCCCGGAUGGUACCCCCCCGCCCAGAAAAUAAGCACCUAACAGUGGGAUAUUUUUUAACCCGGUCCAUAAUAUACAGUUAGGAAG
RNAcentral lists this ribosomal RNA (1283 nucleotides) under Pandora sp. (in: fungi). RNAcentral describes it as "SSU rRNA". It matches the Rfam family "Eukaryotic small subunit ribosomal RNA". The record is from RNAcentral. Lineage: Eukaryota; Fungi; Entomophthoromycota; Entomophthoromycetes; Entomophthorales; Entomophthoraceae.